GGACGAACGCUGGCGGCGUGCCUAAUACAUGCAAGUAGAACGCUGAAGAGAGGAGCUUGCUCUUCUUGGAUGAGUUGCGAACGGGUGAGUAACGCGUAGGUAACCUGCCUUGUAGCGGGGGAUAACUAUUGGAAACGAUAGCUAAUACCGCAUAACAAUGGAUGACACAUGUCAUUUAUUUGAAAGGGGCAAUUGCUCCACUACAAGAUGGACCUGCGUUGUAUUAGCUAGUAGGUGAGGUAAUGGCUCACCUAGGCGACGAUACAUAGCCGACCUGAGAGGGUGAUCGGCCACACUGGGACUGAGACACGGCCCAGACUCCUACGGGAGGCAGCAGUAGGGAAUCUUCGGCAAUGGGGGCAACCCUGACCGAGCAACGCCGCGUGAGUGAAGAAGGUUUUCGGAUCGUAAAGCUCUGUUGUAAGUCAAGAACGGGUGUGAGAGUGGAAAGUUCACACUGUGACGGUAGCUUACCAGAAAGGGACGGCUAACUACGUGCCAGCAGCCGCGGUAAUACGUAGGUCCCGAGCGUUGUCCGGAUUUAUUGGGCGUAAAGCGAGCGCAGGCGGUUUGAUAAGUCUGAAGUUAAAGGCUGUGGCUCAACCAUAGUUCGCUUUGGAAACUGUCAAACUUGAGUGCAGAAGGGGAGAGUGGAAUUCCAUGUGUAGCGGUGAAAUGCGUAGAUAUAUGGAGGAACACCGGUGGCGAAAGCGGCUCUCUGGUCUGUAACUGACGCUGAGGCUCGAAAGCGUGGGGAGCGAACAGGAUUAGAUACCCUGGUAGUCCACGCCGUAAACGAUGAGUGCUAGGUGUUGGAUCCUUUCCGGGAUUCAGUGCCGCAGCUAACGCAUUAAGCACUCCGCCUGGGGAGUACGACCGCAAGGUUGAAACUCAAAGGAAUUGACGGGGGCCCGCACAAGCGGUGGAGCAUGUGGUUUAAUUCGAAGCAACGCGAAGAACCUUACCAGGUCUUGACAUCCCGAUGCUAUUUCUAGAGAUAGAAAGUUACUUCGGUACAUCGGUGACAGGUGGUGCAUGGUUGUCGUCAGCUCGUGUCGUGAGAUGUUGGGUUAAGUCCCGCAACGAGCGCAACCCCUAUUGUUAGUUGCCAUCAUUCAGUUGGGCACUCUAGCGAGACUGCCGGUAAUAAACCGGAGGAAGGUGGGGAUGACGUCAAAUCAUCAUGCCCCUUAUGACCUGGGCUACACACGUGCUACAAUGGUUGGUACAACGAGUUGCGAGUCGGUGACGGCGAGCUAAUCUCUUAAAGCCAAUCUCAGUUCGGAUUGUAGGCUGCAACUCGCCUACAUGAAGUCGGAAUCGCUAGUAAUCGCGGAUCAGCACGCCGCGGUGAAUACGUUCCCGGGCCUUGUACACACCGCCCGUCACACCACGAGAGUUUGUAACACCCGAAGUCGGUGAGGUAACCUUUUGGAGCCAGCCGCCUAAGGUGGGACAGAUGAUUGGGGUGA
RNAcentral lists this ribosomal RNA (1472 nucleotides) under Streptococcus thermophilus. Its description in RNAcentral is "16S ribosomal RNA". It matches the Rfam family "Bacterial small subunit ribosomal RNA". Lineage: Bacteria; Bacillati; Bacillota; Bacilli; Lactobacillales; Streptococcaceae. The record is from RNAcentral.